UUCACAUGGAAGGGGGUGAUGUUACGAGUUUGGUAGUAACGCUCGAAUCACAAGCUAAAGGUACUGAUGACUAAAUCUUUACCGGGAUUUUAUGAGAAGACAGAAGAUAACUCAGGAGGAUAGCAGACGACAACAUCGGAAUCAUGGGAUGGCCGCCAUACUAUUAUUAGCGUAACAUGUUCAAAUCACGAUGUCUGUAUUACGUAUUUUCGGGGGUUUUCACAUAUAACAUGCAUGCUAGAGUAUUUACCUAGUUCACAUAGUUCCUAAAGACUUCAUUCGUAUCCAUUUUAAGUAUCGUUGAUUGUUAUUUAAGCUAGGAAUGACUAUUUUCGUCUCCUCAAACUGUAUGAUGUAUCUCGCCAUCUUUCCACAAUAACAAAGCCUUGAAGUUGUAAGCACGGCGCUGAUUGGUCAGUUAGCCGUGGCCGUAUGAAAGCGGAGCGCAGAUUCACUUACAGUACAGUUUUUGCGCGUGAGAUUAUUCCACAUACUAUAUAAACCCCGAAUUUCUUGAAAAUGUUGUCAUUCGUUUUAUUGAAACGACGGAGGUAUUGACCCUCCAACCCACACAUCAAUAUGGAGCCAUUGGUAAGCUUUAAAUCAAUUUAAAGUGGGACGGAUGACCCGGUGAUCAUGGUGGGGAAAUAUUUCCAUAUAUAAAC
Mizuhopecten yessoensis (Yesso scallop) is the source of this 665-nucleotide long non-coding RNA. RefSeq lists it as uncharacterized. The transcript has 3 exons. The record is from RefSeq and is a predicted model, not a curated record. NCBI's taxonomy places the organism in Eukaryota, Metazoa, Mollusca, Bivalvia, Pectinida, Pectinidae.